This 498-nucleotide ribosomal RNA is filed under the name uncultured bacterium. Its description in RNAcentral is "partial 16S ribosomal RNA". It matches the Rfam family "Bacterial small subunit ribosomal RNA", at positions 30 to 523 of the family's 1533-position model. The record is from RNAcentral.
AUUGAACGCUGGCGGCAUGCCUUACACAUGCAAGUCGAACGGUAACAGGUCUUCGGAUGCUGACGAGUGGCGAACGGGUGAGUAAUACAUCGGAACGUGCCUAGUAGUGGGGGAUAACUACUCGAAAGAGUGGCUAAUACCGCAUGAGAUCUACGGAUGAAAGCAGGGGAUCGCAAGACCCUGUGCUACUAGAGCGGCCGAUGGCAGAUUAGGUAGUUGGUGGGAUAAAAGCUUACCAAGCCGACGAUAUAUAGCUGGUCUGAGAGGACGAUCAGCCACACUGGGACUGAGACACGGCCCAGACUCCUACGGGAGGCAGCAGUGGGGAAUUUUGGACAAUGGGCGAAAGCCUGAUCCAGCAAUGCCGCGUGCAGGAUGAAGGCCUUCGGGUUGUAAACUGCUUUUGUACGGAACGAAAAGCCCCGGGUUAAUACCCUGGGGUCAUGACGGUACCGUAAGAAUAAGCACCGGCUAACUACGUGCCAGCCGCCGCGGUAA